This 253-nucleotide ribosomal RNA is filed under the name uncultured bacterium. RNAcentral's name for it is "partial 16S ribosomal RNA". It matches the Rfam family "Bacterial small subunit ribosomal RNA", at positions 524 to 776 of the family's 1533-position model. The record is from RNAcentral.
CACGGGGGGAGCAAGCGUUGUUCGGAAUUACUGGGCGUAAAGGGCGCGUAGGCGGCCUACUAAGUCAGACGUGAAAUCCCCCGGCUUAACCUGGGAACUGCGUCUGAUACUGGAAGGCUUGAGUAUGGGAGAGGGAUGUAGAAUUCCAGGUGUAGCGGUGAAAUGCGUAGAUAUCAGGAGGAACACCAAUUGCGAAGGCAGCUCGCUGGGACGUGACUGACGCUGAGACGCGAAAGCGUGGGGAGCAAACAGG